Molecule: ribosomal RNA, 245 nt
Filed under: uncultured bacterium
Lineage: Bacteria
Description: partial 16S ribosomal RNA
Rfam family: Bacterial small subunit ribosomal RNA
Source: RNAcentral
CACGGGGGGAGCAAGCGUUGUUCGGAAUCACUGGGCGUAAAGGGCGUCUAGGCGGUCGGGUAAGUGAGAUGUGAAAUGCCUCGGCUCACCCGAGGACCUGCAUCUCAGACUGCUCGACUUGAGUACGGGAGAGGGUGGAGGAAUUCCUGGUGUAGCGGUGAAAUGCGUAGAUAUCAGGAGGAACACCGGUGGCGAAAGCGUCCACCUGGCCCGAUACUGACGCUGAAGCGCGAAAGCUAGGGGAG